RNAcentral lists this ribosomal RNA (253 nucleotides) under uncultured bacterium. Its description in RNAcentral is "partial 16S ribosomal RNA". It matches the Rfam family "Bacterial small subunit ribosomal RNA", at positions 524 to 776 of the family's 1533-position model. The record is from RNAcentral.
UACAGAGGGUGCAAGCGUUGUUCGGAAUUACUGGGCGUAAAGCGCACGUAGGCGGACUAUUAAGUCAGGGGUGAAAUCCUGGAGCUCAACUCCAGAACUGCCUUUGAUACUGAGGACCUUGAGUUCGGGAGAGGUGAGUGGAACUGCGAGUGUAGAGGUGAAAUUCGUAGAUAUUCGCAAGAACACCAGUGGCGAAGGCGGCUCACUGGCCCGAUACUGACGCUGAGGUGCGAAAGCGUGGGGAGCAAACAGG